UACGGAGGACCCAAGCGUUAUUCGGAAUUACUGGGCGUAAAGAGUUGCGUAGGUGGUUUGUUAAGCAGGUAAUGAAAUCGUGUAGCUCAACUAUACGACUAUUAUUUGAACUGGCAGACUUGAGUAUGAGAGAGGUACCUGGAAUUCCCGGUGUAGGAGUGAAAUCCGUAGAUAUCGGGAGGAACACCAAUGGCGUAGGCAGGGUACUGGCUCAUUACUGACACUGAGGCACGAAAGCGUGGGGAGCAAACGGG
This 254-nucleotide ribosomal RNA is filed under the name uncultured bacterium. RNAcentral's name for it is "partial 16S ribosomal RNA". It matches the Rfam family "Bacterial small subunit ribosomal RNA", at positions 524 to 776 of the family's 1533-position model. The record is from RNAcentral.